Long non-coding RNA from Eucalyptus grandis, 313 nucleotides. RefSeq lists it as uncharacterized. The record is from RefSeq and is a predicted model, not a curated record. NCBI's taxonomy places the organism in Eukaryota, Viridiplantae, Streptophyta, Magnoliopsida, Myrtales, Myrtaceae. The transcript has 2 exons.
CAAGGUUUUGGAGACUUUGUGGCCCGUUUUCAAGCCCUUCCCGGCCUCCGUUGGUGUUGCCGUUUUGGGGUUUAUCGACCGCCUUGGCGUCGUGGUCGCCGUGAACUCACCGGCGCGCAAAACCGGUCCCUAGAUGACGGUCGUGGAGGACCGGAAGUCCUGGAGUUCGGAAGGUGGAGGCUGAAGAAUCGGCGAACGUGUCUGACAAGUUGGUCAUAGGACAGUUCCCUAGUUGUUGAGCCUGUCUAUUUUGUAGUCAAUCCAUUGUUGUAUAUAAACCUAUGUGUUUAUAAUGAAGCUUGUUUGGUUGUGA